This is a long non-coding RNA of Armigeres subalbatus, 546 nucleotides long. RefSeq lists it as uncharacterized. Lineage: Eukaryota; Metazoa; Arthropoda; Insecta; Diptera; Culicidae. The record is from RefSeq and is a predicted model, not a curated record. The transcript has 2 exons.
UCUAAAUGUCAAUUUUGAAAUUUACUUUGUGAACCCAAAAGUUUUUGAACUUUUAUUUUCAAAACGCUCAAUAUGAAAAAAUAAUCACUCAAGGUGACAGCUGUGUUCAAUGAUACGAAAGAAACAGCAAUAUUUUUGUUUUGUUGACAUAUUUUCACACUUGCUCGCACGCUUAAGAAAUAUAGUUGUAGAUAUUUAUGUAUUUUGUAUUUCUGGCUUCAAAAACCAAGUAAUCGUUCGGAUUUCCAGCAUACAAAAUGGGAAGAAGACGAUCUCGAGAUCACUGUUCAUUCAGGGCCUUCACAUUUCAUCUUGUUUGUACCGCAAGUACCACCAGAAUACCGUUGAUGGAGCAUCUUUGCUUAAUAUUUCCAAAACUAAUCCGGGAUCCGGGAAUCCUAAGAGUACUGGAGCUGUGAAAAAAUGGAAAUAACUGCCAACAUGCUCAGAAGACACCGCAUAUCAAAUCCUCAUCGGCAUUGAUUCCGGCUGAUAGCAGAACAAGCAAUAUCGGUAAUAAUAAUAAAUAUUUUCGAAAAACUCAAA